GUACACUCCUACGGGAGGCAGCAGUGGGGAAUAUUGCACAAUGGGCGCAAGCCUGAUGCAGCCAUGCCGCGUGUAUGAAGAAGGCCUUCGGGUUGUAAAGUACUUUCAGCGGGGAGGAAGGCGAUAAGGUUAAUAACCUUGUCGAUUGACGUUACCCGCAGAAGAAGCACCGGCUAACUCCGUGCCAGCAGCCGCGGUAAUACGGAGGGUGCAAGCGUUAAUCGGAAUUACUGGGCGUAAAGCGCACGCAGGCGGUCUGUCAAGUCGGAUGUGAAAUCCCCGGGCUCAACCUGGGAACUGCAUGCGAAACUGGCAGGCUAGAGUCUUGUAGAGGGGGGUAGAAUUCCAGGUGUAGCGGUGAAAUGCGUAGAGAUCUGGAGGAAUACCGGUGGCGAAGGCGGCCCCCUGGACAAAGACUGACGCUCAGGUGCGAAAGCGUGGGGAGCAAACAGGAUUAGAAACCCUGGUAGUCCCAUG
This 477-nucleotide ribosomal RNA is filed under the name uncultured organism. Its description in RNAcentral is "partial 16S ribosomal RNA". It matches the Rfam family "Bacterial small subunit ribosomal RNA", at positions 331 to 799 of the family's 1533-position model. The record is from RNAcentral.